GAUGAACGCUGGCGGCAUGCCUAACACAUGCAAGUCGAACGGGAUCCGGACUUCGGUCCGGUGAGAGUGGCGGACGGGUGAGUAACACGUGGGAACCUGCCUUUUGGUUCGGGAUAACCGCGGGAAACUGCGGCUAAUACCGGAUGCUCCCGAGAGGGAAAGAUUUAUCGCCAGAAGAGGGGCCCGCGUCCGAUUAGGUAGUUGGUGGGGUAAUGGCCUACCAAGCCGACGAUCGGUAGCUGGUCUGAGAGGAUGAUCAGCCACACUGGGACUGAGAUACGGCCCAGACUCCUACGGGAGGCAGCAGUGGGGAAUAUUGGACAAUGGGGGCAACCCUGAUCCAGCAAUGCCGCGUGAGUGAUGAAGGCCUUAGGGUUGUAAAGCUCUUUUGCCAGGGAAGAUGAUGACUGUACCUGGAGAAUAAGCCCCGGCUAACUUCGUGCCAGCAGCCGCGGU
Molecule: ribosomal RNA, 456 nt
Filed under: uncultured bacterium
Lineage: Bacteria
Description: bacterial SSU rRNA
Rfam family: Bacterial small subunit ribosomal RNA
Source: RNAcentral